Molecule: ribosomal RNA, 3073 nt
Filed under: Campylobacter coli
Lineage: Bacteria; Pseudomonadati; Campylobacterota; Epsilonproteobacteria; Campylobacterales; Campylobacteraceae
Description: bacterial LSU rRNA
Rfam family: Bacterial large subunit ribosomal RNA
Source: RNAcentral
UAAAAAAAGGUAAGCUACUAAGAGCGAAUGGUGGAUGCCUUGACUGGUAAAGGCGAUGAAGGACGUACUAGACUGCGAUAAGCUACGGGGAGCUGUCAAGAAGCUUUGAUCCGUAGAUUUCCGAAUGGGGCAACCCAAUGUAUAGAGAUAUACAUUACCUAUAUAGGAGCGAACGAGGGGAAUUGAAACAUCUUAGUACCCUCAGGAAAAGAAAUCAAUAGAGAUUGCGUCAGUAGCGGCGAGCGAAAGCGCAAGAGGGCAAACCCAGUGCUUGCACUGGGGGUUGUAGGACUGCAAUGUGCAAGAGGUAAGUUUAGCAGAACAUUCUGGAAAGUAUAGCCAUAGAGGGUGAUAGUCCCGUAUGCGAAAAACAAACCUUAGCUAGCAGUAUCCUGAGUAGGGCGGGACACGAGAAAUCCUGUCUGAAGCUGGGUCGACCACGAUCCAACCCUAAAUACUAAUACCAGAUCGAUAGUGCACAAGUACCGUGAGGGAAAGGUGAAAAGAACUGAGGUGAUCAGAGUGAAAUAGAACCUGAAACCAUUUGCUUACAAUCAUUCAGAGCCCUAUGUAGCAAUACAGGGUGAUGGACUGCCUUUUGCAUAAUGAGCCUGCGAGUUGUGGUGUCUGGCAAGGUUAAGCAAACGCGAAGCCGUAGCGAAAGCGAGUCUGAAUAGGGCGCUUAGUCAGAUGCUGCAGACCCGAAACGAAGUGAUCUAUCCAUGAGCAAGUUGAAGCUAGUGUAAGAACUAGUGGAGGACUGAACCCAUAGGCGUUGAAAAGCCCCGGGAUGACUUGUGGAUAGGGGUGAAAGGCCAAUCAAACUUCGUGAUAGCUGGUUCUCUCCGAAAUAUAUUUAGGUAUAGCGUUGUGUCGUAAUAUAAGGGGGUAGAGCACUGAAUGGGCUAGGGCAUACACCAAUGUACCAAACCCUAUCAAACUCCGAAUACCUUAUAUGUAAUCACAGCAGUCAGGCGGCGAGUGAUAAAAUCCGUCGUCAAGAGGGAAACAACCCAGACUACCAGCUAAGGUCCCUAAAUCUUACUUAAGUGGAAAACGAUGUGAAGUUACUUAAACAACCAGGAGGUUGGCUUAGAAGCAGCCAUCCUUUAAAGAAAGCGUAAUAGCUCACUGGUCUAGUGAUUUUGCGCGGAAAAUAUAACGGGGCUAAAGUAAGUACCGAAGCUGUAGACUUGCACACAACUUAGAUUAUUUAAGUUUAGAAUAUGAGAAACUAAGUUAUAUGUUUAGUUAUAUUUUUACUGAUUUUUAUAGAGUAAAGAUAGAAAUAAAACUUAGUAAAAUCAGUAAAAAUAUUCUUAGACUAAAGUUAAGUAGUUUAAGUUGUGUGCAAGUGGUAGGAGAGCGUUCUAUUUGCGUCGAAGGUAUACCGGUAAGGAGUGCUGGAGCGAAUAGAAGUGAGCAUGCAGGCAUGAGUAGCGAUAAUUAAUGUGAGAAUCAUUAACGCCGUAAACCCAAGGUUUCCUACGCGAUGCUCGUCAUCGUAGGGUUAGUCGGGUCCUAAGUCGAGUCCGAAAGGGGUAGACGAUGGCAAAUUGGUUAAUAUUCCAAUACCAACAUUAGUGUGCGAUGGAAGGACGCUUAGGGCUAAGGGGGCUAGCGGAUGGAAGUGCUAGUCUAAGGUCGUAGGAGGUUAUACAGGCAAAUCCGUAUAACAAUACUCCGAGAACUGAAAGGCUUUUUGAAGUCUUCGGAUGGAUAGAAGAACCCCUGAUGCCGUCGAGCCAAGAAAAGUUUCUAAGUUUAGCUAAUGUUGCCCGUACCGUAAACCGACACAGGUGGGUGGGAUGAGUAUUCUAAGGCGCGUGGAAGAACUCUCUUUAAGGAACUCUGCAAAAUAGCACCGUAUCUUCGGUAUAAGGUGUGGUUAGCUUUGUAUUAGGAUUUACUCCGAAAGCAAGGAAACUUACAACAAAGAGUCCCUCCCGACUGUUUACCAAAAACACAGCACUCUGCUAACUCGUAAGAGGAUGUAUAGGGUGUGACGCCUGCCCGGUGCUCGAAGGUUAAUUGAUGGGGUUAGCAUUAGCGAAGCUCUUGAUCGAAGCCCGAGUAAACGGCGGCCGUAACUAUAACGGUCCUAAGGUAGCGAAAUUCCUUGUCGGUUAAAUACCGACCUGCAUGAAUGGCGUAACGAGAUGGGAGCUGUCUCAAAGAGGGAUCCAGUGAAAUUGUAGUGGAGGUGAAAAUUCCUCCUACCCGCGGCAAGACGGAAAGACCCCGUGGACCUUUACUACAGCUUGACACUGCUAUUUGGAUAAGAAUGUGCAGGAUAGGUGGGAGGCUUUGAGUAUAUGACGCCAGUUGUAUAUGAGCCAUUGUUGAGAUACCACUCUUUCUUAUUUGGGUAGCUAACCAGCUUGAGUUAUCCUCAAGUGGGACAAUGUCUGGUGGGUAGUUUGACUGGGGCGGUCGCCUCCCAAAUAAUAACGGAGGCUUACAAAGGUUGGCUCAGAACGGUUGGAAAUCGUUCGUAGAGUAUAAAGGUAUAAGCCAGCUUAACUGCAAGACAUACAAGUCAAGCAGAGACGAAAGUCGGUCUUAGUGAUCCGGUGGUUCUGUGUGGAAGGGCCAUCGCUCAAAGGAUAAAAGGUACCCCGGGGAUAACAGGCUGAUCUCCCCCAAGAGCUCACAUCGACGGGGAGGUUUGGCACCUCGAUGUCGGCUCAUCGCAUCCUGGGGCUGGAGCAGGUCCCAAGGGUAUGGCUGUUCGCCAUUUAAAGCGGUACGCGAGCUGGGUUCAGAACGUCGUGAGACAGUUCGGUCCCUAUCUGCCGUGGGCGUAAGAAGAUUGAAGAGAUUUGACCCUAGUACGAGAGGACCGGGUUGAACAAACCACUGGUGUAGCUGUUGUUCUGCCAAGAGCAUCGCAGCGUAGCUAAGUUUGGAAAGGAUAAACGCUGAAAGCAUCUAAGCGUGAAGCCAACUCUAAGAUGAAUCUUCUCUAAGCUCUCUAGAAGACUACUAGUUUGAUAGGCUGGGUGUGUAAUGGAUGAAAGUCCUUUAGCUGACCAGUACUAAUAGAGCGUUUGGCUUAUCUUUAAUAAAGCAU